AUUGAACGCUGGCGGCAUGCUUUACACAUGCAAGUCGAGCGGCAGCGGGGGUGCUUGCACCUGCCGGCGAGCGGCGAACGGGUGAGUAAUGCAUCGGAACGUACCCAUGUGGUGGGGGAU
Molecule: ribosomal RNA, 120 nt
Filed under: uncultured bacterium
Lineage: Bacteria
Description: partial 16S ribosomal RNA
Rfam family: Bacterial small subunit ribosomal RNA
Source: RNAcentral